CAGCCGCCGCGGUUAUACGUAGGGUAAAAAUAAUUAUUUUUGAUUUGUAGUAAAAAAAAUUAUUUUCUUUAUAUUUUUUAUUUUUAGGUGAAAUUUUAAUGUUAAAUAUAACAGUUGAUUUUGAUUCUAUGAAACUUAUAACUAAAACAAGGAUUAGAUACCCUUUUAUUUUAAGUGUAAAAUUUUUAAUUAGGGUAGUAUUAGUUAUGUUCUUGAAACUCAAAGAAUUUGGCGGUAUCCUAUUCUUUUUAGAGGAACCUGUUCUGUAAUUGACACUCCACGAGGAUGAUUAACUAUUUUUUGUUUAUCAGUUUGUAUACCUCCGUCAUAAGAUUAUCUUAAUAGAGUUAAUGUUCUCAUUAUAUAGAAAUAUAGGAUGUCAGGUCAAGGUGCAAUUUAUGAAAUAGUAGAAAUGGGUUACAAUAAAUUUAUUUAAAUGGAUUAAAAUAAUUAUUUAUUUUAUGAAGGUGGAUUUAAAAGUAAAAUUGAUUUCUUAUUAUAUUGAUCAUGGCUCUAGGAUAUGUACACAUCGCCCGUCACUCUUGUUAUAAGAUAAGAUAAGUCGUAACAUAGUAGAUGUAUUGGAAAAUGUAUCUAGAUAGAAAACGA
Molecule: ribosomal RNA, 609 nt
Filed under: Phyllomacromia sp. HOL-2009
Lineage: Eukaryota; Metazoa; Arthropoda; Insecta; Odonata; Macromiidae
Description: partial 12S ribosomal RNA
Source: RNAcentral